CCUACGGGUGGCAGCAGUGAGGAAUAUUGGUCAAUGGACGCAAGUCUGAACCAGCCAUGCCGCGUGCAGGAAGACGGCUCUAUGAGUUGUAAACUGCUUUUGUACGAGGGUAAACGCAGAUACGCGUAUCUGUCUGAAAGUAUCGUACGAAUAAGGAUCGGCUAACUCCGUGCCAGCAGCCGCGGUAAUACGGAGGAUUCAAGCGUUAUCCGGAUUUAUUGGGUUUAAAGGGUGCGUAGGCGGUCUGAUAAGUUAGAGGUGAAAGCCCGCGGCUCAACUGUGGAAUUGCCUCUGAUACUGUUCGGCUAGAGAGUAGUUGCGGUAGGCGGAAUGUAUGGUGUAGCGGUGAAAUGCUUAGAGAUCAUACAGAACACCGAUUGCGAAGGCAGCCUACCAAGCUACUUCUGACGUUGAGGCACGAAAGCGUGGGGAGCAAACAGGAUUAGAUACCCCAGUAGUC
Molecule: ribosomal RNA, 460 nt
Filed under: uncultured bacterium
Lineage: Bacteria
Description: partial 16S ribosomal RNA
Rfam family: Bacterial small subunit ribosomal RNA
Source: RNAcentral